Molecule: ribosomal RNA, 237 nt
Filed under: uncultured bacterium
Lineage: Bacteria
Description: partial 16S ribosomal RNA
Rfam family: Bacterial small subunit ribosomal RNA
Source: RNAcentral
UCGCCUACGGGGGGCAGCAGUAGGGAAUCUUCCACAAUGGACGAAAGUCUGAUGGAGCAACGCCGCGUGAGUGAAGAAGGGUUUCGGCUCGUAAAGCUCUGUUGGUAGUGAAGAAAGAUAGAGGUAGUAACUGGCCUUUAUUUGACGGUAAUUACUUAGAAAGUCACGACUAACUACGUUCCAGCAGCCGCGGGAAUACGUAGGUGGCAAGCGUUGUCCGGGUUUAUUGGGCGGAAA